CCUACGUGGGGCAGCAGUGAGGAAUAUUGGUCAAUGGACGAGAGUCUGAACCAGCCAAGUAGCGUGAAGGAUGACUGCCCUAUGGGUUGUAAACUUCUUUUAUAUGGGAAUAAAAUGUUCCACGUGUGGGAUUUUGUAUGUACCAUAUGACUAAGGAUCGGCUAACUCCGUGCCAGCAGCCUCUGUAAUACAGAGGCUCCGAGCGUUAUCCGGAUGUAUUGGGUUUAACGGGAGCGUAGGUGGAUUUUUAAGUCAGUUGUGAAAGUUUGCGGCUUAACCGUAAAAGUGCAGUUGAAACUGGAAGUCUUGAGUACAGUAGAGGUGGGCGGAAUUCGUGGUGUAGCGGUGAAAUGCUUAGAUAUCAAGAAGAA
Molecule: ribosomal RNA, 371 nt
Filed under: uncultured bacterium
Lineage: Bacteria
Description: partial 16S ribosomal RNA
Rfam family: Bacterial small subunit ribosomal RNA
Source: RNAcentral